GGAAUCUUCCACAAUGGACGAAAGUCUGAUGGAGCAACGCCGCGUGAGUGAAGAAGGGUUUCGGCUCGUAAAACUCUGUUGUUAAAGAAGAACAUAUCUGAGAGUAACUGUUCAGGUAUUGACGGUAUUUAACCAGAAAGCCACGGCUAACUACGUGCCUG
Molecule: ribosomal RNA, 161 nt
Filed under: uncultured bacterium
Lineage: Bacteria
Description: partial 16S ribosomal RNA
Rfam family: Bacterial small subunit ribosomal RNA
Source: RNAcentral